This is a non-coding RNA of Paramuricea clavata, 774 nucleotides long. NCBI's taxonomy places the organism in Eukaryota, Metazoa, Cnidaria, Anthozoa, Malacalcyonacea, Plexauridae. The record is from the annotation of a GenBank genome assembly.
UGCAUUAUCUAUUUAUUUACUAACCCAAACAACUUUAAAUUUACAUGCGAGCCAUGUCGCAGCUUUUCCGAAGACCUCUCUUCAAAAAACUUCCACGCGACUGCAAAGCUACCCUUACAAAGUCACUACAAUCAUAUUAUUAUGUACGUCUCUAUGCAAGUCUCGACUAGCAUUGAGACUAUAUAAACCAGCCAUUCAUUACAAAUCAAAGCAUGCAGCAUAUUACAUACUGAUGCAAAUCAUGCGCUACAAAAGUUACUACAAAUCCUUGAAAUACGUUCACUACAAGCAUAAUUUUGGAAGUCAUGCACUACAAGUAGUGAAGCUUCUUAUUAUAUGUUUGUAAAUGUCAUGGCGAUAUCUAGUUAGCUAACUUUAAAAUUAAUACUAAAUUUAAUUAAUUUUAAUGACAUUAUAUAAUGCGAAAUAUAAGAACCGUUGGUGUUCGUCAGGAAGAUUUGGCUGGUUAGUACAGUGUUACUAGUUUAAAAUCCACGAUCAGCAUUAUGUACCGUAAAUGAUCUUAUUAACGCCUGGGCGUUUAUUAAGCGCUUCAAAAGAUGGGGAGAGUAGUGAGUACUUAUUUGAGAGUAGCGAUUACUCUUACAUAGUUAUAGUUCAGUCUAACAUUUCUUGAAUAACACUUUCUGACAGAUGUUAUAGUACACCUUUCAGCGGCAAAAAAUGUUGGACUUCACAUUCAUUCAGUUAUGGGUUAAGAAAUGUUCUUUUAACGUUGUCGUAAAUUUCUCCAAAUAUUUCCUAUAAGUAUUA